This 497-nucleotide ribosomal RNA is filed under the name uncultured bacterium. Its description in RNAcentral is "partial 16S ribosomal RNA". It matches the Rfam family "Bacterial small subunit ribosomal RNA", at positions 28 to 507 of the family's 1533-position model. The record is from RNAcentral.
GAUGAACGCUGGCGGCAUGCCUAAUACAUGCAAGUCGAGCGAGCAGAUCAGGAGCUUGCUCCUCUGACGUUGUCGGCGGACGGGAGAGUAACACGUGGAUAACCUACCUAUACGACUGGGAUAACUUCGGGAAACCGGAGCUACUACCGGAUAAUAUAUUGAACUUGAUGGUGCACUCGUUAAAGUCGGUUUUUCUUACACUUAUAGCUUAAUCCGCGCCGGAUUAGCUAGUUGGUAAGGUAGCGGCUUAGCAACGCAACGAUGCAUACCCGCCCUGAGAGGGUGAUCGGCCACACUGGAACUGAGACACGGUCCAGACUCCUACGGGAGGCAGCAGUAGGGAAUCCUACGCAAGGGGGGAAAGCCUGACGGAGCAACGCCGCGUGAGUGAUGAACGUCUUCGGCUCGGAGAACUCUGUUAUUAGGGAAGGACAAAUGUGUAAGUAACUAUGCACGUCUUGACGGUACCUAAUCAGAAAGCCACGGCUAACUACGUG